GAUGGGGAGGGUUUUCCAAUUAAAAUCUGGUUCGGCAUUCAAAUUCUGAACAUAAUAAAAAACUUCAUCAAAAUUGGAUGAAUAGUUGAUUCAAAAUGAAACACUUACUCGUUACUAUCAUACAUGAAUUCCUGGAAACGCCCGAGAUCAAUUUGCCCACAAACAGCCAUGGAUGAGACCACAGCGACUAUCAUUCUCGCAUAAUAACAAUAGAGGAUCUUCGAGACCGCAUCAUUCUGUUUGCGCAGAAAUUUCUACCGACACUCUAUAGACUGCCAGGAAUUCCGAUAUCGGGUGCCGGUAGAAGAUAUUUUCAGUAUAUCCUCGAUUAGUUUUUUGUUGUUGAUUAGGCUCUGUCUUUUCGAUUUAUUGAUUUGCAGCGUUAUGUUUUGGUAUCGGUUCGUUACGUGUCAGAAAUAAGUGUCGCGUUUCGUUUCAUUUUUGAGUAAACUGUUGGUACGAUCUCGAAGUUUUUUUAUUGUGUUCAGAAUUGAAUGCCGAACCAAAUUUUAAUUGGAAAUAUUUCCCUAUCUUCUACGAUUUAUGAGAUAGGACUGGCGACUGUCCCGAUUCCAAGGUCCGCAUGGGGCACCAUAGUUACGAAUUGCUAUUUGUUGGCAUUGGCAGAUUUUUGAGAUGUACGAUGGUUGCCGAGUUGUUUGGAGGGUGCAGAGUUUUCUUCUACCCUGUAAAUAAAACAGAAAUGUUACAUUCGGCCAACAAGCCCAACUCACCUCCAUACGCUAUUCAUUGGCGUCUUACUAUUAGAGCGGUCUAUCCAAUGUAUAUGUUAGGGCCAAUGCUCGACGUCUAGCCAGUUGGCUGCCCAUUUCUAGGUUUAAUACGGGAGAAUUGACGACUGUUUCGGAGUUUGGCCUAUGAAAAAAGAUGUAUUUCAUUUUUAUGAACAAUUUUAUUAAUGACGAUAAAUAUAAAAUGUUUUCAGCUUUAUAUAUAACUUUUAGUUGGAAUCUGUCCGUGGUAAAAAAAAAAUAUAGUAAAUAUUCGGCAAAGCUUUAAUAUCUUUAUUUAUUUAAUUUGAUAAAAUUUUAAUAUAUUGAUGACGAUAAAGCGCUU
This 1077-nucleotide long non-coding RNA is filed under the name Androctonus crassicauda. Lineage: Eukaryota; Metazoa; Arthropoda; Arachnida; Scorpiones; Buthidae. The record is from RNAcentral.